UGCAAGUCGAGGGGUAGAGGCCUUCGGGCCUUGAGACCGGCGCACGGGUGCGUAACGCGUAUGCAAUCUGCCUUCCACAGAGGGAUAGCCCAGAGAAAUUUGGAUUAAUACCUCAUAGCAUCAUGACCCGGCAUCGGGAUAUGAUUAAAGUCACAACGGUGGAAGAUGAGCAUGCGUCCCAUUAGCUAGUUGGUAAGGUAACGGCUUACCAAGGCUACGAUGGGUAGGGGUCCUGAGAGGGAGAUCCCCCACACUGGUACUGAGACACGGACCAGACUCCUACGGGAGGCAGCAGUGAGGAAUAUUGGUCAAUGGGCGCAAGCCUGAACCAGCCAUGCCGCGUGCAGGAUGACGGUCCUAUGGAUUGUAAACUGCUUUUGUACGGGAAGAAACCCUCCUACGUGUAGGAGCUUGACGGUACCGUAAGAAUAAGGAUCGGCUAACUCCGUGCCAGCAGCCGCGGUAAUACGGAGGAUCCAAGCGUUAUCCGGAAUCAUUGGGUUUAAAGGGUCUGUAGGCGGUCUUGUAAGUCAGUGGUGAAAGCCCAUCGCUCAACGGUGGAACGGCCAUUGAUACUGCUGGACUUGAAUUAUUGGGAAGCAACUAGAAUAUGUAGUGUAGCGGUGAAAUGCUUAGAGAUUACAUGGAAUACCAAUUGCGAAGGCAGGUUGCUACCAAUGGAUUGACGCUGAUGGACGAAAGCGUGGGUAGCGAACAGGAUUAGAUACCCUGGUAGUCCACGCCGUAAACGAUGGAUACUAGCUGUUGGGCGCAAGUUCAGUGGCUAAGCGAAAGUGAUAAGUAUCCCACCUGGGGAGUACGAACGCAAGUUUGAAACUCAAAGGAAUUGACGGGGGCCCGCACAAGCGGUGGAAGCAUGUGGUUUAAUUCGAUGAUACGCGAGGAACCUUACCAAGGCUUAAAUGCAGACUGACCGGUUUGGAAACAGACCUUUCGCAAGACGGUCUACAAGGUG
RNAcentral lists this ribosomal RNA (976 nucleotides) under Flavobacterium sp. Its description in RNAcentral is "bacterial SSU rRNA". It matches the Rfam family "Bacterial small subunit ribosomal RNA", at positions 56 to 1040 of the family's 1533-position model. Lineage: Bacteria; Pseudomonadati; Bacteroidota; Flavobacteriia; Flavobacteriales; Flavobacteriaceae. The record is from RNAcentral.